Molecule: ribosomal RNA, 468 nt
Filed under: uncultured bacterium
Lineage: Bacteria
Description: partial 16S ribosomal RNA
Rfam family: Bacterial small subunit ribosomal RNA
Source: RNAcentral
GACGAACGCUGGCGGCGUGCUUAACACAUGCAAGUCGAACGAAAAGGCCCUGCUUUUGCGGGGUGCUCGAUAGGCGAACGGGGGAGUAACACGUGAGGAACCCGCCCUUGACUUUGGGAGAACUCCAGGAAACUGGGGCUAAUACCGGAUAGGAUCUCUUGCUGCAUGGGGGGGGUUGGAAAGUUUCGGCGGUGUGGGAUGGCUUCGCGGCUUAUCAGCUUGUUGGGGGAGUAGUGGCUUACAAGGGCUUUGGCGGGUAGCCGGCCUUGGAGGGUGGCCGGCGACAUUAGUCCUGAGGUACGGACCAGACUCCUACGGGAGGCAGCAGUGGGGAACAUUGCGCAGUGGGCGCGAGCGUGUUGCGGAGGCGCCGCGUGCGUAAUGACGGCCUUCGAGUUGUAAACCAAUUUCGCCUGUGCCGAAGCGUGAGUGACGGUAAUGGGUAAGGAAGCACCGGCUAACUACGUG